AUUAUACAUCAGACCUUACACGAAAUUUUCACAACUUCUAACCUGUAUCCACUGGGCCCCCCCCACUGGUCUAUGGGCCCCCCAUAAAUGCUUGGCCCUAUGAAUUUGUCAUGUUUACCCCCCUCUUAAUGACAAACACAGACAAGGUA
Sphaeramia orbicularis (orbiculate cardinalfish) is the source of this 149-nucleotide long non-coding RNA. RefSeq lists it as uncharacterized. The transcript is spliced from 3 exons. The record is from RefSeq and is a predicted model, not a curated record. NCBI's taxonomy places the organism in Eukaryota, Metazoa, Chordata, Actinopteri, Kurtiformes, Apogonidae.